Molecule: unclassified non-coding RNA, 349 nt
Filed under: fungal sp.
Lineage: Eukaryota; Fungi
Description: partial internal transcribed spacer region
Rfam family: Eukaryotic small subunit ribosomal RNA (bases 1-46)
Source: RNAcentral
AAGUCGUAACAAGGUAUCUGUAGGUGAACCUGCAGAUGGAUCAUCUUUGUAUAAUCCAAGCCAGCCUCUCUUCUCUUCGGAGGAAAGGUUGGUCGAGAGGUGUCGCUCCGCACCUCUCUUGAAUAAACUAAAUUGGGCAAUCUUCUACAAACACGGUUGCAUCGGUCGGAGUCUCUGCUGUCCAACAGUGCGCCGCAAGGUCGCUGGGAAAAUGGCAGCGCUCCGACAAAACUUUAUACACACGCUAAUUUUUAGUCGUUGAAAAAUAAUCAUUUAUGAUUGACACGAUUCGGUAACACGAUCGUAUAAUCUAAAACACAACUUUUGGCAACGGAUCUCUUGGUUCUCC